Long non-coding RNA from Cynoglossus semilaevis (tongue sole), 1564 nucleotides. RefSeq lists it as uncharacterized. NCBI's taxonomy places the organism in Eukaryota, Metazoa, Chordata, Actinopteri, Pleuronectiformes, Cynoglossidae. The transcript is spliced from 3 exons. The record is from RefSeq and is a predicted model, not a curated record.
CGAGCUGCUACACACAAGACGCCAAGGACGCGCGCUCCUUCACUUACCGUAUAGUCUACGUUUUUAAACCCAAAACAGGAUUAAAUUCGAUGAGAUUAGAACAAACGUUAUUGAUCCCACACAGGAAAUGAACACGUCGCCACAAAAAAACAAAACAAAACAGCGAAUGUUGCUAGAAGAAAAAAACUCUGAUCGAGUAAAACCAACAUUGAUAAAUAUAUAUUAAAAUAACAUUUGAAAAAAUUCAAAUUCUUCUUGUCAACAUCUGUCUUAAAACGUUUUGACUCUCCCAUGUCCUUCGUCAAAGUUUUCCAAACUUUCUAAACGUUUAGUCAUUACCUGCUGUAAUGACUAAAGCUUAUCAUUAGCUUAUCUUGUAUUUUAUGGCUGAUUCGCGGCUAAUUCCGAGCCCACUCUUAGCUUGUGCCGUACGAAUGCAGUUCAUGAGAAAUGGUGAAAUGUCUUUUACAGAUUUAUUUAGAGUUAUAUGUAAUGCACAUUAAGAAAAAUCAUUUUAGGAAUAUUCUUAAUCAUCGCUAAUGAAACAGAUGAUCCUCUUGUAUUUAGCCUUCCUUCUUAAAUGUGACUUAUCGUUUCUCCAUACUGAUAAUUAAACCCAAUUCUUUGUCUGAUGUUUGACAUUCUCUCAGUCCCUAAGGUUCUCAUCUAAACUGACGUUCCUACUUUUGUGGUAAGUAUAUUUAUACCUGCAUUCCACGCUGCUUUAUCUUUACUUUUAACCGUUUUUUGAAUAAAUACUUUUCAUUAGUUGAGUUUAGUUUUAUUGUGAGUUAUCCGGCCUCUUUUCUUUUCUUUUUCUUCUUCCGUCACUAUCUGUGUUUAUUCUAAAUUUACUUGCAGCACUUUCCUCCGUUCCGACUCCGGCUGAUCAUCCAUUACUAACCGUCACUACAUCCCAGCUGACUUCGGUCCACGGUCUCCAUGUCCCAGGAGCAGGCUUACUUACAUCUUCUUCUCUGCUGAAGCCAGCCCUCCAAGCCAUGCAGAAUUAUACUGAGGACAACUGAAAAGAAAAAACGACACGUCUCGGAAGUCCCAUCUUUGACGGACAAAGCUGCUAAAAUAAGGUGUGGACCUGGGGUCAAAUCCCAGAAGGAACGUGCAUAAACGGCCUGUCAAGAAAUGAAAAAUCACUUUCAGCCUGUCCCUAUCGUCAGAGGUUACCACUGUGGUAAGUGGAUUUGAUUUUUGAUUUUCACAACAGAUGCCUUUUCCUGACGUAGCCCAACCUUGGAAUAAGGGAUCAGGUUGUAUUGAACCCAGAACCUUCUGCUGUUGGCCAAUCACCUUUGUCUUUCAAAGAAUAGUCACAUUAAAAAUAAUUUGCAUAAACUCAUAUUAAUCAAAUUAACUUGGCAACAGCAAUUUAAAAAAAACGCUGUGAACCAGGCCGGACAUUUUUAGGCUCCUGACACUUAAAUGAACUUCUCUUGGUUCAGUGUUGUUUUUUGUGAUUUGUGUAAUUUAUGUGUGAGGACAAGUCACUAAAAUGUAAAAAAAUAAAUUAAAAAAAAUCUAAUUUUAAUCGCCCCCCAGUCCCCGC